RNAcentral lists this ribosomal RNA (301 nucleotides) under uncultured bacterium. RNAcentral's name for it is "partial 16S ribosomal RNA". It matches the Rfam family "Bacterial small subunit ribosomal RNA", at positions 509 to 809 of the family's 1533-position model. The record is from RNAcentral.
CAGCAGCCGCGGUAAUACGAAGGGGGCUAGCGUUGUUCGGAAUUACUGGGCGUAAAGCGCACGUAGGCGGACAUUUAAGUCAGGGGUGAAAUCCCGGGGCUCAACCCCGGAACUGCCUUUGAUACUGGGUGUCUAGAGUAUGGAAGAGGUGAGUGGAAUUCCGAGUGUAGAGGUGAAAUUCGUAGAUAUUCGGAGGAACACCAGUGGCGAAGGCGGCUCACUGGUCCAUUACUGACGCUGAGGUGCGAAAGCGUGGGGAGCAAACAGGAUUAGAUACCCCCGUAGUCCCUGUCUCUUAUAA